RNAcentral lists this ribosomal RNA (223 nucleotides) under uncultured bacterium. RNAcentral's name for it is "partial 16S ribosomal RNA". It matches the Rfam family "Bacterial small subunit ribosomal RNA", at positions 524 to 746 of the family's 1533-position model. The record is from RNAcentral.
UACGUAGGGUGCAAGCGUUGUCCGGAAUUAUUGGGCGUAAAGAGCUCGUAGGCGGUUUGUUGCGUCGGCUGUGAAAUCCCGAGGCUCAACCUCGGGUCUGCAGUCGAUACGAGCAAACUAGAGUGUUGCAGGGGAGACUGGAAUUCCUGGUGUAGCGGUGAAAUGCGCAGAUAUCAGGAGGAACACCGGUGGCGAAGGCGGUUCUCUGGCGAUGACCUGACGC